Humulus lupulus (European hop) is the source of this 578-nucleotide RNA transcript. RefSeq lists it as uncharacterized. The record is from RefSeq and is a predicted model, not a curated record. The transcript has 5 exons. NCBI's taxonomy places the organism in Eukaryota, Viridiplantae, Streptophyta, Magnoliopsida, Rosales, Cannabaceae.
UUCUUUCCCUUUUCUUUAUUUUUUUUUCCUCUCAAAGUUCAAACUCCCAAUAAUUCUUCUCAACUUUCUUUCUUCUGAUUUCUGGGAUUGAAGAUUCAGAAUGCCGAAUUGGGCCUUGAUGAACUGUUGCCAGCACGAUCAAGUUGUCUUCUUGACCACUAUUGGAGUCUUCACCGUCGUUAUCCUCUUGCUCUGGAGAACAGUACUACUCACACCCUUUAAGCUCAUCACAGUGUUCUUGCAUGAAGCAAGUCAUGCUAUUGCUUGCAAACUCACAUGUGGUCAUGUGGAGGGAAUCCAAGUCCAUGCAAAUGAGGGUGGCAUCACACAAACGCGUGGUGGUGUAUACUGGUUGAUAUUACCUGCAGGAUUGUUGAGAAAUGCAAACAUUAUUGCAUAUUGUCUUCAUCAGUUACUAUGAAGUGAGCACUUAUUAAUUUUUCCUUUUAAUCUUGUUCAUUAUAUAGUGGACACUCCGUGGACUUUGUAUCGGAUUCAUCAUUUUCCUUACUUUAAUUUGGGUUCUACAAGAAAUGACAACAGUCCGUAUUCUCCGUUACGUUAUUCUCUUUAUAGGU